Molecule: long non-coding RNA, 327 nt
Organism: Thalassophryne amazonica
Lineage: Eukaryota; Metazoa; Chordata; Actinopteri; Batrachoidiformes; Batrachoididae
Exons: 3
Source: RefSeq, a predicted model, not a curated record
UGUACCCUGUUAAACCUUGUUAAACUGUAUUCUGCACAGCUUCAGCAGCUUGGCGUUCAGCAAGAUACCCGUCCACACAGCACUGAACUUAAAAAUCGCAUUCUCGACCACUUCCCAGAUCUGAAAGCCCACAAAGAAGGACGUGACAUACUAUUGGCCUUUGACAAAGACCUGGGAGCUGCUCUGCGUAAGCUCUGCAAAGAAGAUUUUGAUGAUGAAGCCAUCUGCCUGGCACAAUCAGCUAAGAUUGUGUGGCGAGCCAUGUUCCAGCUGCAGGCAGGAUUCACAGGCUCCUUUGAUAAGGCAUGUUAGGUCAAUUCUGUACCG